UCGCCUCUUGCAACCAAUAAGAGGUCCAGCCUGCCCAGUGACUCUGUUCAACGGCCGCGGUAUCCUAACCGUGCAAAGGUAGCGCAAUCAUUUGUCCUUUAAAUAAGGACUAGUAUGAACGGCACCACGAAAGCUACACUGUCUCCUUCCUCUGAUCAGUGAAACUAAUCCCCCCGUGAAGAAGCGGGGAUAAUUUUAUAAGACGAGAAGACCCUAUGGAGCUUUAAACACACAACAAUUGUCACGGGCCCCCCCCCUUCUUCCCCGGAAGAAACUACCUACCCGAACAUUUUGAUUGCGAGUUUUAGGUUGGGGUGACCACGGAGCAAAAAUUAACCUCCAUAGUGAACGGGAUUCUUUUUCCCCUAAACCCAGGGCCACAACCCUAAGGAUCAACAAAUUGACACCCAUUGACCCAAUACUUUGACCAACGAACCAA
This 439-nucleotide ribosomal RNA is filed under the name Leptodactylus petersii group sp. ABGD cluster 91. RNAcentral describes it as "partial large subunit ribosomal RNA". It matches the Rfam family "Bacterial large subunit ribosomal RNA", at positions 1816 to 2441 of the family's 2925-position model. Lineage: Eukaryota; Metazoa; Chordata; Amphibia; Anura; Leptodactylidae. The record is from RNAcentral.